RNAcentral lists this ribosomal RNA (253 nucleotides) under uncultured bacterium. RNAcentral describes it as "partial 16S ribosomal RNA". It matches the Rfam family "Bacterial small subunit ribosomal RNA", at positions 524 to 776 of the family's 1533-position model. The record is from RNAcentral.
UACGGAGGGUGCAAGCGUUAUCCGGAUUCACUGGGCUUAAAGGGUGCGUAGGUGGGUUGGUAAGUCAGUGGUGAAAUCCCCGAGCUUAACUUGGGAACUGCCAUUGAUACUAUCAGUCUUGAAUACCGUGGAGGUUAGCGGAAUAUGUCAUGUAGCGGUGAAAUGCUUAGAUAUGACAUAGAACACCAAUUGCGAAGGCAGCUGGCUACACGAAUAUUGACACUGAGGCACGAAAGCGUGGGGAUCAAACAGG